RNAcentral lists this ribosomal RNA (839 nucleotides) under Saskatchewan Brassica rapa phytoplasma. Its description in RNAcentral is "bacterial SSU rRNA". It matches the Rfam family "Bacterial small subunit ribosomal RNA", at positions 550 to 1399 of the family's 1533-position model. Lineage: Bacteria; Bacillati; Mycoplasmatota; Mollicutes; Acholeplasmatales; Acholeplasmataceae. The record is from RNAcentral.
AUUAUUGGGCGUAAAGGGUGCGUAGGCGGUUAAAUAAGUUNAUGGUCUAAGUGCAAUGCUCACCAUUGGUGAUGCUAUAAAANCUGUUNAGCUAGAGUAAGAUAGAGGCAAGUGGAAUUCCCAUGUGUAGUGGUAAAAUGCGUAAAUAUAUGGAGGAACACCAGUAGCGAAGGCGGCUUGCUGGUCUUUACUGACGCUGAGGCACGAAAGCGUGGGGAGCAAACAGGAUUAGAUACCCUGGUAGUCCACGCCGUAAACGAUGAGAACUAAACGUUGGGUAAAACCAGUGUUGAAGUUAACACAUUAAGUACUCCGCCUGAGUAGUACGUACGCAAGUAUGAAACUUAAAGGAAUUGACGGGACUCCGCACAAGCGGUGGAUCAUGUUGUUUAAUUCGAAGGUACCCGAAAAACCUCACCAGGUCUUGACAUGCUUCUGCAAAGCUGUAGAAACACAGUGGAGGUUAUCAGUUGCACAGGUGGUGCAUGGUUGUCGUCAGCUCGUGUCGUGAGAUGUUGGGUUAAGUCCCGCAACGAGCGCAACCCUUAUUGUUAGUUACCAGCACGUAAUGGUGGGGACUUUAGCAAGACUGCCAGUGAUAAAUUGGAGGAAGGUGGGGACGACGUCAAAUCAUCAUGCCCCUUAUGACCUGGCUACAAACGUGAUACAAUGGCUGUUACAAAGGGUAGCUGAAGCGCAAGUUUUUGGCGAAUCUCAAAAAACAGUCUCAGUUCGGAUUGAAGUCUGCAACUCGACUUCAUGAAGUUGGAAUCGCUAGUAAUCGCGAAUCAGCAUGUCGCGGUGAAUACGUUCNANGGGUUUGUACACACCGCCCGUCA